Molecule: transfer RNA, 73 nt
Filed under: Nephila pilipes (giant wood spider)
Lineage: Eukaryota; Metazoa; Arthropoda; Arachnida; Araneae; Nephilidae
Description: tRNA-Leu
Rfam family: tRNA
About the family: Transfer RNA (tRNA) molecules are approximately 80 nucleotides in length.
Source: RNAcentral
GCCUCGGUAAAGCAGUAGGCAGCGCGUCAGUCUCAAAAUCUGAAGGUCGUGAGUUCGAUCCUCACCCGGGGCA